CUAUUGUAUGACAACUUUUAUUUGGUGAUUUGUAAACUGAUUUAUAUCAAAUAAAAUAAAAGUGUGCUGCAAUUUUUGUAUUCUAUCACUUCUUCUACUUCAAGAAUACUGAUUUUACAGAUUAAUUUACCUGCGAGUGGCGGGGAUGGAUGAUGGAUUAAAUGUGAAGGAGAGAAUUUACUAUCUGAGUUCCAUGAUGGACAUGGGAAGUGAAGUACAGGUUCGUGGUAGUGGUGGUCUUCUUGCAAUACUGGAGAAUGAAAGGAUUGUAGAUACUCUUGAACUGGAAAUACAUCAAUUUCAAUUGAUUCUGUUGCAGAAAUUUCGUUGUAUCCUUGAACUUAUUUUGCUCAGUGUUUAUAGGCAAAAACAUUCUUGCUUGUGUUGCAAGGAGAAGACGUGAGUUCAAAGGUUGUCCUUUUCAGUCAUGAAUUGGUUUCUGUUAGUUUUGAUUGAGUGGAUGAGAAUAGCUAGUUUAAGUUUCUGUAAUAGAACCUUCAAGACCCUAAAGUGGACCUGCUCAUUGUCAAAAUGUCUUUUUGAAAAAGCUAUUGAGAUUCACUGACUCAUAGGACCAGUUCUAGGCUAUCUCUAUCUGGUGCUUCCAUUCUAUUUUGGUUUUGAUUGUCUAGUCUCACAUAAUCCAUUUAGUUUAGACUGCUUUGUAUGCUCUUACAUAUUUUUUACCUCUUGUCCAUUAGUUUAGGUGUUUCUUGUUGAUUUGAUUUGCAUUCUUGUUCAUGACUCUUCUAUUUUUAACAUUGAAAUUUUGAUGCUUUGUUUUUAGCUCUGUGAAUAGAUUUUAUGAAUUUAGUAUGGAGUAUUCUUUGCUUUUGUUUUUCAGAUUUAGUUCUUUGUUUCCUUUUUCAUAGUAAAGUAUAUACAUUUGACUUAGGUUUUGUUUUGAGUAUAAACGGAUUCCAUCUCUUCUUUUAGUUUAGAUUCUAUUUCUUACUUUCUUUCUUAGGUUUUUUUUCCUUACUCUCUUUCUUCUUUUCUUUAAACAGGUCUUGAUAACAACUUUGAUUAUAGUUUGAUGGACUGUGCUGACUUGAUGGAGAUUGAACUAGCCGAUCCCAACCCUGAAUAGAGAGUUGCAGUUGCUGUAGCAAGGAGCUGGAGAGGAGCAAUUCAAUGUAAAUUUGGAACCCUUACACAGCGGAGCUGAGAAUGGAACAAAACCAAUAAGCCUUUUCUUUCACUUUCCCUUUAAUUAUAGUUAUAGAUUUUUUCUAUUAGCUUGCCUAGUCAUAGAUAGCAUAGUAAAUAAUAGGAUAGAACAUAUGUUGUUUUUUAUAAAAUUUAAGAAAAUCAAUUUUGAUUUGUGGCCGAUUUGAAUAAGUUUUUUUUUUCUUAUUAUAUUGCUUUGCAGUUUUAGUUUUCUUUUUCCAUUUAUGUUCUUGUAGAUGUUGCGUUCUAUUGCAUUUUCCUUCCUGUUCGUAUACAUUUUAAACUCUUGUGUUCAGUCUUCUUAGUUCUAUUCUGUUCUAUAUUUUAUUGAUUAGUUUUGUCCUCUUUUAGUUCUUCCUUUUAUAAAUACAUGUGUAAUCCUGGUUUGAGCAUAUCUGUUUUGUCUGUGCUGAUUAGGAAAUCUUACUCACUCACACAUU
Molecule: long non-coding RNA, 1610 nt
Organism: Vigna radiata var. radiata (mung bean)
Lineage: Eukaryota; Viridiplantae; Streptophyta; Magnoliopsida; Fabales; Fabaceae
Exons: 3
Source: RefSeq, a predicted model, not a curated record